GGGGGUGAGUGCGACUGGCGGCACGGGAUGGCAGUGACCAUCGGGGAGCCCGCCGUGGGUAUCGACCGCCUGGGUGCCCACG
This 82-nucleotide non-coding RNA is filed under the name Asanoa hainanensis. RNAcentral's name for it is "Asanoa sp. 210121 ZMP/ZTP riboswitch aptamer (pfl RNA motif)". It matches the Rfam family "ZMP/ZTP riboswitch aptamer (pfl RNA motif)". From Rfam's summary of the family: Previously known as pfl RNA. The record is from Rfam by way of RNAcentral. Lineage: Bacteria; Bacillati; Actinomycetota; Actinomycetes; Micromonosporales; Micromonosporaceae.